This 71-nucleotide transfer RNA is filed under the name Loxodonta africana (African savanna elephant). It matches the Rfam family "tRNA". From Rfam's summary of the family: Transfer RNA (tRNA) molecules are approximately 80 nucleotides in length. Lineage: Eukaryota; Metazoa; Chordata; Mammalia; Proboscidea; Elephantidae. The record is from Rfam by way of RNAcentral.
GCGCUGGUGGCUCGGUGGUAGAAUUCUCACCUUCCAUGUGGCAGACGUGGGUUCGAUUCCUGGCCAGUGCA